RNAcentral lists this ribosomal RNA (440 nucleotides) under uncultured bacterium. RNAcentral describes it as "partial 16S ribosomal RNA". It matches the Rfam family "Bacterial small subunit ribosomal RNA", at positions 338 to 795 of the family's 1533-position model. The record is from RNAcentral.
CCUACGGGAGGCAGCAGUGGGGAAUAUUGCACAAUGGGGGAAACCCUGAUGCAGCGACGCCGCGUGAGUGAAGAAGUAUCUCGGUACGUAAAGCUCUAUCAGCAGGGAAGAAAAUGGCGGUACCUGACUAAGAAGCGCCGGCGAACUACGUGCCAGCAGCCGCGGUAAUACGUAGGGGGCAAGCGGUAUCCGGAUUUACUGGGUGGAAAGGGAGCGUAGACGGCAGCACAAGUCUGGAGUGAAAUCCCGGGGCUUAACCCCGGAACUGCUUUGGAAACUGUGCGGCUGGAGUGCAGGAGGGGUAAGCGGAAUGCCUAGUGUAGCGGUGAAAUGCGUAGAUAUUAGGAGGAACACCGGUGGCGAAGGCGGCUUACUGGACUGUAACUGACGUUGAGGCUCGAAAGCGUGGGGAGCAAACAGGAUUAGAUACCCUUGUAGUC